Molecule: ribosomal RNA, 427 nt
Filed under: uncultured Desulfovibrionaceae bacterium
Lineage: Bacteria; Pseudomonadati; Thermodesulfobacteriota; Desulfovibrionia; Desulfovibrionales; Desulfovibrionaceae
Description: partial 16S ribosomal RNA
Rfam family: Bacterial small subunit ribosomal RNA
Source: RNAcentral
UGGGGAAUAUUGCGCAAUGGACGAAAGUCUGACGCAGCGACGCCGCGUGAGGGAAGAAGGUCUUUGGAUCGUAAACCUCUGUCAGAAGGGAAGAAAUUAUAUUGUGCUAAUCAGCGAUAUAUUGACGGUACCUUCAAAGGAAGCACCGGCUAACUCCGUGCCAGCAGCCGCGGUAAUACGGAGGGUGCAAGCGUUAAUCGGAAUCACUGGGCGUAAAGCGCGCGUAGGCUGUCAAUUAAGUCAGGGGUGAAAUCCCACAGCUCAACUGUGGAACUGCCUUUGAUACUGGUUGACUUGAGUGUGAGAGAGGAUAGCAGAAUUCCAAGUGUAGGAGUGAAAUCCGUAGAUAUUUGGAGGAAUACCGGUGGCGAAGGCGGCUAUCUGGCUCACAACUGACGCUGAGGUGCGAAAGCGUGGGGAGCAAACA